RNAcentral lists this ribosomal RNA (498 nucleotides) under uncultured bacterium. RNAcentral describes it as "partial 16S ribosomal RNA". It matches the Rfam family "Bacterial small subunit ribosomal RNA", at positions 30 to 523 of the family's 1533-position model. The record is from RNAcentral.
AUUGAACGCUGGCGGCAUGCCUUACACAUGCAAGUCGAACGGUAACAGCUCUUCGGAGGCUGACGAGUGGCGAACGGGUGAGUAAUACAUCGGAACGUGCCCGAUCGUGGGGGAUAACGGAGCGAAAGCUUUGCUAAUACCGCAUACGAUCUACGGAUGAAAGCAGGGGACCCUCGGGCCUUGCGCGAACGGAGCGGCCGAUGGCAGAUUAGGUAGUUGGUGGGAUAAAAGCUUACCAAGCCGACGAUCUGUAGCUGGUCUGAGAGGACGACCAGCCACACUGGGACUGAGACACGGCCCAGACUCCUACGGGAGGCAGCAGUGGGGAAUUUUGGACAAUGGGCGAAAGCCUGAUCCAGCAAUGCCGCGUGCAGGAUGAAGGCCUUCGGGUUGUAAACUGCUUUUGUACGGAACGAAAAGUCUCGGGCUAAUACCCUGGGACCAUGACGGUACCGUAAGAAUAAGCACCGGCUAACUACGUGCCAGCCGCCGCCGUAA